AGCAGCCGCGGUAAUUCCAGCUCCAAUAGCGUAUAUUAAAGUUGUUGCAGUUAAAAAGCUCGUAGUUGAAUUUCGAGAUCAAUUUGUUGGUCGUGCCUCGGUACGUACUGGCAAUUUUGAUUUCUCCCUUCUGAAGAACCAUGAUGUCAUUAAUUUGGUGUCAUGGGGAAUCAGGACCGUUACUUUGAAAAAAUUAGAGUGUUUAAAGCAGGCUCGCGCUUGAAUACAUUAGCAUGGAAUAAUGAAAUAGGACGUUUGAUUCUAUUUUGUUGGUUUCUAGGAUCGACGUAAUGAUUAAUAGGGAUAGUUGGGGGCAUUAGUAUUCAAUUGUCAGAGGUGAAAUUCUUGGAUUUAUUGAAGACUAACUACUGCGAAAGCAUUUGCCAAGGAUGUUUUCAUUAAUCAAGAACGAAAGUUAGGGGAUCGAAGACGAUCAGAUACCGUCGUAGUCUUAACCAUAAACUAUGCCGACUAGGGAUCGGAUGAUGUUAAUUUUUAAUUGUACUCAUUCGGCGUCCG
Molecule: ribosomal RNA, 519 nt
Filed under: uncultured Glomus
Lineage: Eukaryota; Fungi; Glomeromycota; Glomeromycetes; Glomerales; Glomeraceae
Description: SSU rRNA
Rfam family: Eukaryotic small subunit ribosomal RNA
Source: RNAcentral